Molecule: ribosomal RNA, 253 nt
Filed under: uncultured bacterium
Lineage: Bacteria
Description: partial 16S ribosomal RNA
Rfam family: Bacterial small subunit ribosomal RNA
Source: RNAcentral
UACGGAGGGGGCGAGCGUUAUUCGGAAUUAUUGGGCGUAAAGGGCGCGUAGGCGGCUGUACAAGUCAAAGGUGAAAUCCCUCGGCUCAACUGAGGAACUGCCUUUGAAACUGUACGGCUUGAGGCCGGGAGGGGGUAGCGGAAUUCCCAGUGUAGCGGUGAAAUGCGUAGAUAUUGGGAAGAACACCAGUGGCGUAAGCGAUUCGCUGGGCUGUAACUGACGCUGAGGAACGAAAGCCAGGGUAGCGAAUGGG